CGAACGGGUGAGUAACGCGUAGGUAACCUGCCUCAUAGCGGGGGAUAACUAUUGGAAACGAUAGCUAAUACCGCAUAAGAGUGACUUAGCACAUGUUAGUUAUUUAAAAGGAGCAAUUGCUUCACUGUGAGAUGGACCUGCGUUGUAUUAGCUAGUUGGUGAGGUAAAGGCUCACCAAGGCGACGAUACAUAGCCGACCUGAGAGGGUGAUCGGCCACACUGGGACUGAGACACGGCCCAGACUCCUACGGGAGGCAGCAGUAGGGAAUCUUCGGCAAUGGACGGAAGUCUGACCGAGCAACGCCGCGUGAGUGAAGAAGGUUUUCGGAUCGUAAAGCUCUGUUGUUAGAGAAGAACGUUGGUAGGAGUGGAAAAUCUACCAAGUGACGGUAACUAACCAGAAAGGGACGGCUAACUACGUGCCAGCAGCCGCGGUAAUACGUAGGUCCCGAGCGUUGUCCGGAUUUAUUGGGCGUAAAGCGAGCGCAGGCGGUUCUUUAAGUCUGAAGUUAAAGGCAGUGGCUUAACCAUUGUACGCUUUGGAAACUGGAGGACUUGAGUGCAGAAGGGGAGAGUGGAAUUCCAUGUGUAGCGGUGAAAUGCGUAGAUAUAUGGAGGAACACCGGUGGCGAAAGCGGCUCUCUGGUCUGUAACUGACGCUGAGGCUCGAAAGCGUGGGGAUCAAACAGGAUUAGAUACCCUGGUAGUCCACGCCGUAAACGAUGAGUGCUAAGUGUUAAGGGGUUUCCGCCCCUUAGUGCUGCAGCUACGCAUUAAGCACUCCGCCUGGGGAGUACGACCGCAAGG
Molecule: ribosomal RNA, 807 nt
Filed under: uncultured Streptococcaceae bacterium
Lineage: Bacteria; Bacillati; Bacillota; Bacilli; Lactobacillales; Streptococcaceae
Description: bacterial SSU rRNA
Rfam family: Bacterial small subunit ribosomal RNA
Source: RNAcentral